UUGAGUUUUACUACAACAACAUUGUGUCCUUUUUUUAAUAGGGGACCAAGGUGGGAGUACUGCUUCAUGUGGCAGGUGGUGGUUGUGCCAGCACCAUGGACAAUGCUGGAUUCACCAUCCAUUUGGUGUAUUUUUUUAACAAACCUACAACCUGAAAGAUCAUGCUGGUGAUGAGCAUUCGAGUUCAAGACUGAUGAGAAGCAACUGAUGUAGGGCUUCACAUAUGUCAUGCUAGCCCCAACAAGACGCAUUCGAGUUCAAGAUUGAUGAGAAGCAAUUGAACCGAGGGGCUUCACAUAUGUCAUGCUAGCCUGAACAAGGUGGCGAUGAGGUGACUUUCAACGCCGUGUUGCCUAGUAGGAUGAAAAUGAGUCAUCAAAACCCCAGUGGAAUUAUUAUACCAAAAAAUAUUUACGGUGAGUCAUGUACAUCACUAAAUGUUUGAUGAAUAAUUCCUUCAUUUUAUUUACAGUCUUGUUAGGCCUUGCUCACAUUUAUUCUAUGGGAACAUGCGGCUAUGCCAGUCUCCCUCAAAAAACACGAGGCUAUGUCAGUCAAUCUUACGUCGUGUAGUCAGACAAUAUAAUAAUCAUGCAAAGUCUUAUGUUGUGUAA
Molecule: long non-coding RNA, 614 nt
Organism: Lolium rigidum
Lineage: Eukaryota; Viridiplantae; Streptophyta; Magnoliopsida; Poales; Poaceae
Exons: 2
Source: RefSeq, a predicted model, not a curated record